GACGAACGCUGGCGGCGUGCUUAACACAUGCAAGUCGAACGGAAAGGCCCUGCUUUUGUGGGGUGCUCGAGUGGCGAACGGGUGAGUAACACGUGAGUAACCUGCCCUUGACUUUGGGAUAACUUCAGGAAACUGGGGCUAAUACCUGAUAGGAUCUCCUGCUGCAUGGUGGGGGUUGGAAAGUUUCGGCGGUUGGGGAUGGUCUCGCGGCUUAUCAGCUUGUUGGUGUGGUAGUGGCUUACCAAGGCUUUGACGGGUAGCCGGCCUGAGAGGGUGACCGGCCACAUUGGGACUGAGAUACGGCCCAGACUCCUACGGGAGGCAGCAGUGGGGAAUAUUGCAAAAUGGGCGGAAGCCUGAUGCAGCAACGCCGCGUGCGGGAUGACGGCCUUCGGGUUGUAAACCGCUUUCGCCUGUGACGAAGCGUGAGUGACGGUAAUGGGUAAAGAAGCACCGGCUAACUACGUG
RNAcentral lists this ribosomal RNA (468 nucleotides) under uncultured bacterium. Its description in RNAcentral is "partial 16S ribosomal RNA". It matches the Rfam family "Bacterial small subunit ribosomal RNA", at positions 28 to 507 of the family's 1533-position model. The record is from RNAcentral.